Long non-coding RNA from Rhineura floridana, 450 nucleotides. RefSeq lists it as uncharacterized. Lineage: Eukaryota; Metazoa; Chordata; Lepidosauria; Squamata; Rhineuridae. The record is from RefSeq and is a predicted model, not a curated record. The transcript is spliced from 3 exons.
UACCAGGCAUCAUGGAUUUGAUCUCCUUCCCCAACCCAACUUCCUCCACUGUCCCCUUUGGGCCAUAAAAGUGCGUCAUCUUGACUUCAGCUACAAUAGACCAACAAAUCAGCACCUCCCAGGGAUGACGCAGCCAAAACAGAGAUCAGCUUCAAAGGGAUUUUCAGGAAGAAUCUUCAGAGAGGAACAUCCCUGGAGGGACACUCCUUGGCCUGAAACAGCUUUGCAACUGAAUGCAUCUUGCAGGAAAGAGACUCUAGCUGGUUCCUGUGGAACAUGUGGAGCGUGCAUUUUGAUGUAACAUUUUUCAAAAGAUUCCUCCAGGAGUCCUUCUCAGAGAAGAAAGCACACUUUGUCAAAACAGGUCCUCUUCCUUUAAAAUGUUCCGGUAGUUCUGCCAGAUAAAGCAGUGCAUGUUCAUCUUGGCAAGCACAUCUGGUAUCUAUGCUG